Molecule: non-coding RNA, 521 nt
Organism: Poecilia reticulata (guppy)
Lineage: Eukaryota; Metazoa; Chordata; Actinopteri; Cyprinodontiformes; Poeciliidae
Source: RefSeq, a predicted model, not a curated record
CUAAAUACAGCUCAUCUUGGUCCAGAUUUUUGUUUUUGUUUUACUAUCUUCUGUUAUUUUCUCUGGAUUGUGGACCUUCUACUUUCUUUUAAGAUAUGAUAUCAGCGAUAUUUGAUGCAGAGAUAUGGAUGAGCCAUAUGCCCAUUGUCUGCAUAUGGACCAUCCACAACUAACCACAUUUUGGGACUGAUAACUGAACACUUUACCCGGCUUGAUGGUCAGACAGUCCAGUGGUGCCAGUGCAUGGCAGCCUCACCUCUUUCAGAAUGUCUCAGGGCAGCUGUGGCUACAAUCCAAUAGUUUGCCACCAUCUGGUCACCUUUGGCAUCAAUCUGUUUGUUUCUUAUCCUAAUAAAAAUACUAAUAAAAUAACUUUUGAAUAUGUUGUAAGCUAAAUUGACCAAUUCAUGAAUAUGCAGCAAGUAUUACUGAAAAAUCUAUAAAGACGACAUGCAACAUGAAAGCAUACUCAAGUGCUAUCAUUUAAUCCUGAUUGUGUUCUAAUGGCUUCAUGUACUUAA